UGGCGGAAUGUUUUACACAUGCAAGUCGAACGGCAGCACGGACUUCGGUCUGGUGGCGAGUGGCGAACGGGUGAGUAAUGCAUCGGAACGUACCCAGUCGUGGGGGAUAACGUAGCGAAAGUUACGCUAAUACCGCAUACGACCUACGGGAGAAAGCAGGGGAUCGCAAGACCUUGCGCGAUUGGAGCGGCCGAUGUCAGAUUAGCUAGUUGGUGGGGUAAAGGCCUACCAAGGCGACGAUCUGUAGCGGGUCUGAGAGGAUGAUGCGCCACACUGGAACUGAGACACGGUCCANACUCCUACGGGAGGCAGCAGUGGGGAAUUUUGGACAAUGGGGGAAACCCUGAUCCAGCCAUUCCGCGUGAGUGAUGAAGGCCUUCGGGUUGUAAAGCUCUUUCGGCCGGGAAAAAAUCGCACGGGUUAAUACCCUGUGUGGAUGAUNGACCGGACUAAGAAGC
This 458-nucleotide ribosomal RNA is filed under the name uncultured bacterium. Its description in RNAcentral is "bacterial SSU rRNA". It matches the Rfam family "Bacterial small subunit ribosomal RNA", at positions 37 to 491 of the family's 1533-position model. The record is from RNAcentral.